AGCAGUUCAUCUUGGUGUCUCACCACACCCUCACCCCUUUGUAGGAUGGAGGGGUCCACAUGUUGCAGGUGCCUGUGUGGAACCAGGAGGAGGUAGAAAUUCACAUCCCCAUCACCCGCAAUCUGAGCAUUUUGACACUCCCGUGGCAACCAAAGAUGGGCCCCUAUCAGUACACAGUUCAGUGGUCGGAGACAAGUUAAAAUCCGGGAGUUUUUAUGCUUUUUCUCUUUUGUGGGGUUCCUAUCACAACAUUGCACUUUGGGAAUCAGAAAAACAACCCAGCAUGUCAGACCAGGAAGCAAAAUAAAGAAACCCUGGCACACA
Molecule: long non-coding RNA, 324 nt
Organism: Suricata suricatta (meerkat)
Lineage: Eukaryota; Metazoa; Chordata; Mammalia; Carnivora; Herpestidae
Exons: 2
Source: RefSeq, a predicted model, not a curated record